RNAcentral lists this ribosomal RNA (373 nucleotides) under uncultured organism. RNAcentral's name for it is "bacterial SSU rRNA". It matches the Rfam family "Bacterial small subunit ribosomal RNA", at positions 526 to 896 of the family's 1533-position model. The record is from RNAcentral.
CGGAGGGGGCAAGCGUUGUUCGGAUUUACUGGGCGUAAAGGGUGUGUAGGCGGCUGCGCAAGUCUGAUGUGAAAUCUUCACCGCUUAACGGGAAGAGGGCAUUGGAAACUGCGUAGCUCGAGUAUGGUAGAGGCAAGCGGAAUUCCUGGUGUAGCGGUGGAAUGUGUAGAUAUCAGGAAGAACACCGGUGGCGAAGGCGGCUUGCUGGGCCAUUACUGACGCUGAGACACGAAAGCGUGGGGAGCAAACGGGAUUAGAUACCCCGGUAGUCCACGCUGUAAACGGUGCGCACUAGGUGUGAGGGGUAUCGACCCCCCUUGUGCCGAAGCAAACGCAUUAAGUGCGCCGCCUGGGGAGUACGGCCGCAAGGUUG